Molecule: ribosomal RNA, 119 nt
Filed under: Pteropus alecto (black flying fox)
Lineage: Eukaryota; Metazoa; Chordata; Mammalia; Chiroptera; Pteropodidae
Source: RNAcentral
GUCAAUGGCCAUGCUACCCUGAACAAGCUCGAUCCCGUCUGAUCUCGGAAGCUAAGCAGGGUCAGGCCUCAUUUGUACUUGGAUGGGAGACCACCUAGGAAGACCAGGUGCUGUAGGCA